UACAGAGGCCUCGAGCGUUAGGCGGAAUCACUGGGCUUAAAGCGUGUGUAGGCGGCUUGGUAAGUACCUUGUGAAAUCCCACGGCUUAACCGUGGAACUGCUCGGUAUACUGCUGAUCUUGAGCCACUCAGGGGCUACCGGAACAAAUGGUGGAGCGGUGAAAUGCGUAGAUAUCAUUUGGAACGCCAAUGGUGAAAACAGGUAGCUGGGGGUGUGCUGACGCUGAGACACGAAAGCCAGGGGAGCGAACGGG
RNAcentral lists this ribosomal RNA (253 nucleotides) under uncultured bacterium. Its description in RNAcentral is "partial 16S ribosomal RNA". It matches the Rfam family "Bacterial small subunit ribosomal RNA", at positions 524 to 776 of the family's 1533-position model. The record is from RNAcentral.